RNAcentral lists this long non-coding RNA (2033 nucleotides) under Parus major (Great Tit). Its description in RNAcentral is "lncRNA (ENSPMJG00000004771.1)". The record is from RNAcentral. Lineage: Eukaryota; Metazoa; Chordata; Aves; Passeriformes; Paridae.
UGUGUCACUGUGUCACUGUGUGUCACUGUGUGUCACUGUGUGUCACUGUGUCACUGUGUCACUGUGUCACUGUGUGUCACUGUCACUGUCACUGUGUCACUGUGUGUCACUGUGUCACUGUGUCACUGUCACUGUGUCACUGUGUGUCACUGUCACUGUCACUGCGUCACUGUCACUGUGUGUCACUGUCACUGUGUCACUGUCACUGUGUCACUGUGUGCUGUGUCCCUGUGUCCCUGUGUCACUGUGUCAUUGUGUCACUGUGGUGUCCCCUGAUGACCCCAUGUCCCCCACGAUGUCCUCCUGAUGUCCCUGUGGUGUCCCCAGGUGUCACUCACCAUGGUUGAAUCCUCCCAGCUCAGGAUCAGGAACCUGUGACGUUCCCCAGGUGUCCCCAGGUGUGUCCCCAGGUGUCCCCAGGUGUGUCCCCAGGUGUCCCCAUGUCCCCCCAGGUGUCCCCAUGUCCCCAGGUGUCACUCACCAUGGUGGAGUCCUUCUGGCUCAGGAUCAGGAACCCGUGACGUUCCCCAGGUGUCCCCAGGUGUGUCCCAGGUGUCCCCAGGUGUAUCUCAGGUGUCCCCAGGUGUGUCUCAGGUGUCCCCAGGUGUGUCCCAGGUGUGUCCCAGGUGUCCCCAGGUGUAUCUCAGGUGUCCCCAGGUGUGUCCCCAUGUCCCCCCAGGUGUCCCCAGGUGUCCCCAGGUGUCACUCACCAUGGUGGAGUCCUCCCGGCUCAGGAUCAGGAACCCGUGACGUUCCCCGUCCUCCUCGGAACUUUCCGGAGCCGUCGCUGCCGCCUCGGGCUCUGCGCUGGUCCCUGGGGCCACCUCCGGCUGUGGGGACAGGGACAGGGUGGGGACACUGUGGGGACACUGUGGGACACCGUGGGACACCAUGGGGACAGGGACAGGGACAGGGACAGGGUGGGGACACUGUGGGACACCAUGGGGACAGGGACAGGGACACAGUGGGGACACUGUGGGGACACUGUGGGACACGGUGGGGACAGGGACAGGGACAGGGACACAGUGGGACACCGUGGGGACAGGGACACAGUGGGGACAGGGACAGUGUGGGGACAGGGACAGGGAGAGCGUGGGGCCAGGGACACACUGGGGACAGGGACACACUGGGGACAGGGACAGCAUGGGGACAGGGACACAGGGACACAGGGACACACUGGGGACAGGGACACAGGGACAGGGACACACUGGGGACAGGGACAGCGAGGGGACAGGGACACACUGGGGACAGGGAUGGGGACAGGGAUAGGGACACAGGGACAGCGUGGGGCCAGGGACACUGUGGGGACAGGGACACUGUGACAAGGGGACACACGGACAUGGAAGGACCUGGGGACACAGAGACAGGGACAGGAACACGGUGACACGAGGGGACACAGGAAGGUGACACAGUGACACAGGGGAGGGGACACGGUGACACGAGGGGACAUGGGGAGGGGACACGGUGACACAGUGACAUGAGGUGACAUCAGGUGAUACAUGGCAACACACAGUGACACAAGGUGAGGUGACAUACAGUGACACACGGUGACACACAGUGACACACAGUGACACAGUGACACACAGUGACAGUGACACACGGUGACACAGGUGACACACAAUGACACACAGUGACACACAGUGACACAGUGACACAGUGACACACAGUGAAACAGUGACACACAAUGACACACAGUGACACACAGUGACACACAGUGACAGUGACACAGUGACACACAGUGACACAGUCACACGCAGUCACACACAGUGACACACAGUGACACACGGUGAGGUGACACACAGUGACACACACGGUGACACAGUGACACACAGUGACACAGUGACACAGAGUGACAGUGACACACGGUGACACAGUGACACACGGUGACAGUGACACACAGUGACACACGGUGACACACACGGUGACACACACGGUGACACGGUGACACACCUGCUGGCGCGGCGGGGGCGCGGUGACCGUCCACAUGUCGUAACAGCCGGGGAGCUCAAACGUGGUGACAACCUGCGGCCGGA